CACCCUGUAGUUAUAACAUGGGAUCGAAAAUAUACUGAAUUAGAGCAGCUGUAUCUGCGGAACUUUAGUUACAUUUUAGCCGGUUAUGUACGGCUGCACUUUUAAAGUUAUGUUGUCUUAUGUUGGUUUUACACACAU
Molecule: non-coding RNA, 138 nt
Organism: Tribolium castaneum (red flour beetle)
Lineage: Eukaryota; Metazoa; Arthropoda; Insecta; Coleoptera; Tenebrionidae
Source: RefSeq, marked provisional